AAUAUACUAUAGACAGAGCAUGCACAACAAACUUCACAAUGCCGCAACCAAUUAUUUCAACUAAAAUUUCCCAUUUACUAUAGACACAACAUGCACAAUACGACAUAAUCACACACACAAAUACAUAUAAUAAAUUAUACUAUUACAUUGUCUCAUAUAGAAUAGGCAUAUAUAAUUGAAUAAGAAGAAUAUUAUAGUAUGCAUGUCUACUAUAAGCCAAUAUGAAUAAAAAAAUACAACCAUAGCUAUACAAGUGACAGCUAACAUUUUCUAUUUAUUAUAGGCAGAGCAUUCACACUAUCCAACACAAUCAUAGAAGCACAUACGUAUAUAAGUCACAUUAUUUUAAAUUCUUCUAGGUAACAAUACUAUGAACGUCUCUCAUAUAGUAUAGUCAUAUCAUCACACAACAUCAUUGUCUCCCCAACCCCU
RNAcentral lists this long non-coding RNA (432 nucleotides) under Brassica napus (rape). RNAcentral describes it as "long non-coding RNA (BNAP_LNC014108)". Lineage: Eukaryota; Viridiplantae; Streptophyta; Magnoliopsida; Brassicales; Brassicaceae. The record is from RNAcentral.